GAGAAAUCCACAGUAGAGAAGAAAUCAGAUAUAAUGCAGCCUCAGGAGAAAGUAGAUGGACAACUACUAACUUGAACGCGACAUUUCCAUCAAGAAAAAAAACAAACUCGGAACCGUCAAAAAAUGUUAAUAGCCUGCAACGGUUGUUUGAGUCUGCAUCAGCUGUGAAUCCAAAAGGUACAGAACUUAAGGGUCAGAGUUCCCAUGACUCAAUUGGCAGAUUCCCUGGUUCUUCAUACGGAUACAAUACUUCAUACAAUAAUUCUAGAAGAAAUACACCAGUUUCGCCUAGAACUGCUUUUAAUCCCUCUUACACUACUGCAGAUUAUAAUUCAGGAAGCAUAUCCAAUCCUACACAUCGACCGUCAUAUACUUUUCCUGCUCAGAAAACAAGU
Sitophilus oryzae (rice weevil) is the source of this 395-nucleotide long non-coding RNA. RefSeq lists it as uncharacterized. NCBI's taxonomy places the organism in Eukaryota, Metazoa, Arthropoda, Insecta, Coleoptera, Curculionidae. The record is from RefSeq and is a predicted model, not a curated record. The transcript is spliced from 4 exons.